Molecule: ribosomal RNA, 497 nt
Filed under: uncultured bacterium
Lineage: Bacteria
Description: partial 16S ribosomal RNA
Rfam family: Bacterial small subunit ribosomal RNA
Source: RNAcentral
GAUGAACGCUGGCGGCGUGCCUAAUACAUGCAAGUCAAGCAAACAGACGAGGAGCUUGCUCCUCUAACGUUAGCGGCGGACGGGUGAGUAACACGUGGAUAACCUACCUAUAAGACUGGGAUAACUUCGGGAAACCGGAGCUAAUACCGGAUAAUAUAUUGAACCGCAUGGUUCAAUAGUGAAAGACGGUUUUGCUGUCACUUAUAGAUGGAUCCGCGCCGCAUUAGCUAGUUGGUAAGGUAACAGCUUACCAAGGCAACGAUGCGUAGCCGACCUGAGAGGGUGAUCGGCCACACUGGAACUGAGACACGGUCCAGACUCCUACGGGAGGCAGCAGUAGGGAAUCUUCCGCAAUGGGCGAAAGCCUGACGGAGCAACGCCGCGUGAGUGAUGAAGGUCUUCGGAUCGUAAAACUCUGUUAUUAGGGAAGAACAAAUGUGUAAGUAACUAUGCACGUCUUGACGGUACCUAAUCAGAAAGCCACGGCUAACUACGUG